Molecule: ribosomal RNA, 774 nt
Filed under: uncultured Neocallimastigales
Lineage: Eukaryota; Fungi; Neocallimastigomycota; Neocallimastigomycetes; Neocallimastigales
Description: partial large subunit ribosomal RNA
Rfam family: Eukaryotic large subunit ribosomal RNA
Source: RNAcentral
AGAGAGAGACAUGCGCGCAUAUCAAUAAGCGGAGGAAAAGAAACUAACUAGGAUUCCCUCAGUAACGGCGAGUGAAGCGGGAAGAGCUCAAAUUUGAAAUCUUCAAGGUUCUACCUUGACGAAUUGUAGUUUAAAGAAGUGUUUUCUGUUGGAGUUUUGGUAGAAGUUCUUUGGAAUAGGACAUCAUAGAGGGUGAGAAUCCCGUAUUUGACCAUUAUUUCCAGCUUUGUGAUAUACUUUCAAAGAGUCGGAUUGUUUGGGAAUGCAGUCCAAAAUGGGUGGUAAAUUUCAUCUAAAGCUAAAUACUGGCGAGAGACCGAUAGCGAACAAGUACCGUGAGGGAAAGAUGAAAAGAACUUUGAAAAGAGAGUUAAACAGUACGUGAAAUUGUCAAAAGGGAAGCGUUUGACACCAGUGUUGUUUUCUCGAAAAUCAAUUAAAAAAGGCAGGAUUUUGUGUUGUAUUGACUUUAUCAGCUUUCUGCACUCUUUCUUGUCUUUUUUAAUGCACUUUUCGUUUAACAAGUCAACAUCAAUUUCUUUUGUUGUAAAAGGGUCAUUGGAAGGUGGCUUUCUUUUCGGAGAAAGUGUUUAUAGCCUUCGGCCUCUGCAAUCGGAGAGAUUGAGGUCUGCAGCGUAGAUCCUUCGGGGUUAGAUACAUUUGUGCUAAGUUAUAGCCUUUUCAUAGACAACUUGUUGACUAUGAUCAGUCAUGUAGCUUACUCGCUUAUGCUAUUUUACCUACGCUUAGGAUGUUGAUGUGAUACUGCGAGCA